RNAcentral lists this transfer RNA (76 nucleotides) under Nitrospinota bacterium. Its description in RNAcentral is "tRNA-Lys". It matches the Rfam family "tRNA". From Rfam's summary of the family: Transfer RNA (tRNA) molecules are approximately 80 nucleotides in length. Their secondary structure includes four short double-helical elements and three loops (D, anti-codon, and T loops). The record is from RNAcentral. Lineage: Bacteria; Pseudomonadati; Nitrospinota.
GUGUCGCUAGCUCAGCUGGUAGAGCAACGGACUUUUAAUCCGUAGGUCGGGGGUUCGAGUCCCCCGCGGCACACCA